GGAUCGGUAACUCAGGCGGUCAGAGUACCUGCCUUUUAAGCAGGGAGUCGUGGGUUCGAAUCCCACCCGAUCCA
Molecule: transfer RNA, 74 nt
Filed under: Acidobacteriota bacterium
Lineage: Bacteria; Pseudomonadati; Acidobacteriota
Also listed under: 1 other name
Description: Acidobacteria bacterium tRNA-Lys
Rfam family: tRNA
About the family: Transfer RNA (tRNA) molecules are approximately 80 nucleotides in length. Their secondary structure includes four short double-helical elements and three loops (D, anti-codon, and T loops).
Source: RNAcentral